AAGACAUACCGCGUGAGGGAGGAGGCUCUUGGGUUGUAAACCUCUUUUCUCAGGGAAGAACAGAAUGACGGUACCUGAGGAAUAAGCAUCGGCUAACUCCGUGCCAGCAGCCGCGGUAAUACGGAGGAUGCAAGCGUUAUCCGGAAUGAUUGGGCGUAAAGGGUCCGCAGGUGGCAUUGUAAGUCUGCUGUUAAAGAGUUUGGCUCAACCAAAUAAGAGCAGUGGAAACUACAAAGCUAGAGUGUGGUCGGGGCAGAGGGAAUUCCUGGUGUAGCGGUGAAAUGCGUAGAUAUCAGGAAGAACACCAGUGGCGAAGGCGCUCUGCUAGGCCGAGACUGACACUGAGGGACGAAAGCUAGGGGAGCGAAAGGGAUUAGAUACCCCCUGUAGUCCAAA
RNAcentral lists this ribosomal RNA (396 nucleotides) under Aphanizomenon flos-aquae NHSB131015. Its description in RNAcentral is "bacterial SSU rRNA". It matches the Rfam family "Bacterial small subunit ribosomal RNA", at positions 389 to 799 of the family's 1533-position model. Lineage: Bacteria; Bacillati; Cyanobacteriota; Cyanophyceae; Nostocales; Aphanizomenonaceae. The record is from RNAcentral.